UAGGGAAUCUUCGGCAAUGGACGAAAGUCUGACCGAGCAACGCCGCGUGAGUGAAGAAGGUUUUCGGAUCGUAAAACUCUGUUGUUAGAGAAGAACAAGGGUGAGAGUAACUGUUCACCCCUUGACGGUAUCUAACCAGAAAGCCACGGCUAACUACGUGCCA
This 163-nucleotide ribosomal RNA is filed under the name uncultured bacterium. Its description in RNAcentral is "partial 16S ribosomal RNA". It matches the Rfam family "Bacterial small subunit ribosomal RNA", at positions 355 to 510 of the family's 1533-position model. The record is from RNAcentral.